GCAAAAUUAAACCAAUCUUAAAACAAAAAUUCUAAAAUGAAAAAACUAUUAAUACUGUAUUUUUUUUAAUGAAUUAUUCUUCAAAUAUUAUAGUUUUAAUUCAGGCCACUCUUUGCUGGGGAAGAUUCAAAGAUUUCAACAUGCUACUUUGAAAGUUCUUCACAUUCUUGCAGAAAUUCCUCUGAGAUUUCAAGAAGGAUUUGACCAUCUACUUCCUCUUCAUGAAGUUUUUCAAUUAUAGGGGGACUCUCCUCAACCACCACCAGUAUGCAGCAUCUACCUGGAUGAUUCAACGGCAGCCAUAGAGCACCAGUACACUUACCACACACCAGAUAUUGGUGGAGAUGAGAAAGUAGACUGAUACAGCCAAUUAAUUAAAGGGGAUUAUUAGGAAGCCAUGAUUGACAAUGGCCAAUGGGGGAAUCUGGCCAGGACACCAGGGUUACACUCCUCUUUACGAGAAGUGUCCUGGGAUUUUUAAUGACCACAGAGAGUCAGGACCUUGGUUUAACAUCUCAUCCAAAAGACUGUCUUUUUACAGUAUAGUGUCCCCAUCACUAUACUGAAGCAUUAGGACCCACACAGUCCCAGCUGGCCUCACUAACACCUCUUUCAGCAGACUCAAGAUGGCGCCGAAUAUGGCUGCUGCAUUGUGAGAUCCGACACAACACUGCAGUUUAUUGUUUGUUUUGUUUACAUUUUUUGUUUUUUUUGUAUUGGAUGUUGUCUGCCUUAUUGUAUACGACAGACAAACACUUUUGGACACUGGUUCAGCAAUUACACACCGUAAAAUCACUUGCCUAAAUGACUGCCGUCCUGUUGCUCUGACCCCCAUCAUCAGCAAAUGCUUUGAGAGGUUAAUCAAAGAUCACAUCUGCUCUGUGCUGCCCACCUCUCUGAACCCAUUGCAGUUUGCCUACCACAACAACCGCUCCACUGAUGUUGCCAUUGCAUCUACAAUACACACU
Long non-coding RNA from Xyrauchen texanus (razorback sucker), 968 nucleotides. RefSeq lists it as uncharacterized. NCBI's taxonomy places the organism in Eukaryota, Metazoa, Chordata, Actinopteri, Cypriniformes, Catostomidae. The record is from RefSeq and is a predicted model, not a curated record. The transcript is spliced from 3 exons.